RNAcentral lists this long non-coding RNA (1092 nucleotides) under Falco tinnunculus (common kestrel). RNAcentral's name for it is "lncRNA (ENSFTIG00000001355.1)". Lineage: Eukaryota; Metazoa; Chordata; Aves; Falconiformes; Falconidae. The record is from RNAcentral.
UGCAAAGGAUUCAGAAAAUGAGCAGAGCAGACCCUGAGGGCUUAGCUGGAGACAAGGCCACCAAAUAAUUUAGAAUUAUAGCAUAAUUGCACUUUGAAAAAUCAGAAAAAUCUCAGUAUAGUCUUAAGAAUGUAAUUGACUGUUCAUAAUUUGUAACAUUGGAGAGAUUUCUUCAGGUAAGAUACUUCUUUUUUUUUUGCAAGACACGUUCUCCAUCUUGUGUUUUGUUUUAAAUAAAGCUUUUCUUUGCUAAUUGUCCUUUUCUUUUUCUUCUCACCAAGUAAUUAAAUAGUAGUUGAGCCUAGUUAUUUCCCUGCUCUGAAAAUAUUUUAUUGGAUUGCAUGAGAUGUCCAAAAGGGGAUAAUUGGAGGGCUUGUAGAUACUGAUAUAAGAAGAUAUUUCUAUGGAAACCAGACCUUGCAUUAUGGAAGAGAGAUACCACAACACACAUCGCUAUCACAAUGACAGCUGUAACCUUCCUUUCAAAGUGAACAUUUGAUCCUGAAUUGCUUUCAUUUGAUCUUUUCUAGCAGAAAAAUCUGCUGUGUAAACCCUGUGGUGGACAGGAUGGCAUACAAACUCCAUUAACGCAGAAAAAGUUUGGUGCAGAAAAAACAGUGAGCGAGCUACAGGAUUUAAACUGCCUUUAAAUUCAGGCUCUGUGAUCAUGCUAUGUGAGGACUUCUUAAAUCCAGACGAGUCAUAUAGUCCUCGGAGCCUGCCCGGAACACAGCCAUGCUGCCAUGCGUGGGAAGACGAGAUGGUGCGCUUCCACACCACACCGAAAGGUGAAUGCAGUGAAACCUUGCAGUGCCUUGUGUGCAGCAGGACAAGACACAGAGCCAGUCAGCACCCCUGUGAGGCUGCUCAGUUGCAUAGAAUCACGCAUGCCCCUCCAGUCUGAAUAUGGAACAGCACUAAUUAGGACUUGGACAAUAAAAGCCUUGGCCAAAGACCACAAGGACUUCACAUACCUGCAGAAAUGGGGAGAGCUGGGGAAGAUUACUAGGCUGUGUAACAGUCUAAAGAAGGUACCUAUUUCCUUGGCCACCCCUAUCUUGUUUUGCUCUCAGGCAGCUGCUUUGGAGCUGU